This 165-nucleotide unclassified non-coding RNA is filed under the name uncultured Beauveria. RNAcentral describes it as "sequence contains ITS1". Lineage: Eukaryota; Fungi; Ascomycota; Sordariomycetes; Hypocreales; Cordycipitaceae. The record is from RNAcentral.
CCGAGUUAUCAACUCCCAAACCCCUGUGAACAUACCUGAACGUUGCUUCGGCGGGACCGCCCCGGCGCCCUCAGCGGCCCCGGACCCAGGCGCCCGCCGGAGGACCCAAACUCUUGCUUUGCAUUAGUGGCAUUCUCUGAGUCUCACAAACAAAAAAAUAAAUUA